GGUGGCUUAGUGGUAGAGUACCUUGUUUGAAUCCAGAAGGUCUCAGAUUCAAUCCCUGGCAUCCCCA
Phrynosoma platyrhinos (Desert horned lizard) is the source of this 67-nucleotide non-coding RNA. Lineage: Eukaryota; Metazoa; Chordata; Lepidosauria; Squamata; Phrynosomatidae. The record is from the annotation of a GenBank genome assembly.